GUUGAAGACAGCCUGGUUAGAGAGGAAGAAGGCGGCUCUAGUUGGUGUUUUCUGCUGCAGUAAAACACAGUCAGGUCAGAUCGCUGAGAGGAAGAAUGGAGGGAACAUCUCCACUCCGUCUGAUCUUUCUGACCUUCCUGCUCUGCUGCUCAACAGAUCAAGUCCUUCCAGCAGCUCGUCUGAUUGUGAGUCCCAGCAGAUCUCAGUUCUUUGAAGGAGACUAUGUGUCUCUGAGCUGUGAGGAGAACUGCAGCUCUGCUGGAUGGACUGUAUGGAGGAACACAACCAGACGAAACAGGACUCAGUGUGGAGAUGGAU
Molecule: long non-coding RNA, 318 nt
Organism: Cyprinodon variegatus (sheepshead minnow)
Lineage: Eukaryota; Metazoa; Chordata; Actinopteri; Cyprinodontiformes; Cyprinodontidae
Exons: 3
Source: RefSeq, a predicted model, not a curated record